This 1361-nucleotide ribosomal RNA is filed under the name uncultured bacterium. RNAcentral describes it as "bacterial SSU rRNA". It matches the Rfam family "Bacterial small subunit ribosomal RNA", at positions 28 to 1381 of the family's 1533-position model. The record is from RNAcentral.
AUUGAACGCUGGCGGCAGGCCUAACACAUGCAAGUCGAGCGGUAGCACAGAGAGCUUGCUCUCGGGUGACGAGCGGCGGACGGGUGAGUAAUGUCUGGGAAACUGCCUGAUGGAGGGGGAUAACUACUGGAAACGGUAGCUAAUACCGCAUAACGUCGCAAGACCAAAGUGGGGGACCUUCGGGCCUCAUGCCAUCAGAUGUGCCCAGAUGGGAUUAGCUAGUAGGUGGGGUAAUGGCUCACCUAGGCGACGAUCCCUAGCUGGUCUGAGAGGAUGACCAGCCACACUGGAACUGAGACACGGUCCAGACUCCUACGGGAGGCAGCAGUGGGGAAUAUUGCACAAUGGGCGCAAGCCUGAUGCAGCCAUGCCGCGUGUGUGAAGAAGGCCUUCGGGUUGUAAAGCACUUUCAGCGGGGAGGAAGGCGUUAAGGUUAAUAACCUUGGCGAUUGACGUUACCCGCAGAAGAAGCACCGGCUAACUCCGUGCCAGCAGCCGCGGUAAUACGGAGGGUGCAAGCGUUAAUCGGAAUUACUGGGCGUAAAGCGCACGCAGGCGGUCUGUCAAGUCGGAUGUGAAAUCCCCGGGCUCAACCUGGGAACUGCAUUCGAAACUGGCAGGCUAGAGUCUUGUAGAGGGGGGUAGAAUUCCAGGUGUAGCGGUGAAAUGCGUAGAGAUCUGGAGGAAUACCGGUGGCGAAGGCGGCCCCCUGGACAAAGACUGACGCUCAGGUGCGAAAGCGUGGGGAGCAAACAGGAUUAGAUACCCUGGUAGUCCACGCCGUAAACGAUGUCGAUUUGGAGGUUGUGCCCUUGAGGCGUGGCUUCCGGAGCUAACGCGUUAAAUCGACCGCCUGGGGAGUACGGCCGCAAGGUUAAAACUCAAAUGAAUUGACGGGGGCCCGCACAAGCGGUGGAGCAUGUGGUUUAAUUCGAUGCAACGCGAAGAACCUUACCUGGUCUUGACAUCCACAGAACUUUCCAGAGAUGGAUUGGUGCCUUCGGGAACUGUGAGACAGGUGCUGCAUGGCUGUCGUCAGCUCGUGUUGUGAAAUGUUGGGUUAAGUCCCGCAACGAGCGCAACCCUUAUCCUUUGUUGCCAGCGGUUAGGCCGGGAACUCAAAGGAGACUGCCAGUGAUAAACUGGAGGAAGGUGGGGAUGACGUCAAGUCAUCAUGGCCCUUACGACCAGGGCUACACACGUGCUACAAUGGCAUAUACAAAGAGAAGCGACCUCGCGAGAGCAAGCGGACCUCAUAAAGUAUGUCGUAGUCCGGAUUGGAGUCUGCAACUCGACUCCAUGAAGUCGGAAUCGCUAGUAAUCGUAGAUCAGAAUGCUACGGUGAAUAGGUUCCCGGGCCU